Molecule: long non-coding RNA, 419 nt
Filed under: Felis catus (domestic cat)
Lineage: Eukaryota; Metazoa; Chordata; Mammalia; Carnivora; Felidae
Description: lncRNA (ENSFCAG00000053337.1)
Source: RNAcentral
AAAGAAGAAUGCAUCAGAUAGAGUUAAGCAAAAUUUCGUGGUUUGGGCGGCCCUGGCCAGUUAAUGGGAUCAAAUGCUUGGUUGACUGAUUGAUUAUUUAUGCAGAAAUCAUCAUUAUGAUAAGAAAAAAGAAGUCGACUCAAAGGUUCCAAACACUGCAAACAGUCUGGAAAUCAUGGGCUGUUGAAGCAGGAAGGAACCCCGUGGACCAUACAGCCAGAGCUUUCGUUUUGCUGCUGAAGAAACUGCCAUUCAGAAAGGUUAUUCGAGGCCACACAGCUGGUCAGUUCAAUAGCCCAAUCUUCAUAUCAGGGUUUCUGAUUCUCAGUUCAACACUCUACGCUCUGCUGUCCUCCUGUGAUAGGAUGAUAUUUGUCUGGGAUUAUUGUAGUUUUAAAAUGGAAAAUCUCAUAUCCUAG